This 20109-nucleotide unclassified non-coding RNA is filed under the name Penaeus chinensis. RNAcentral's name for it is "neuroblast differentiation-associated protein AHNAK- like, transcript variant X49". The record is from RNAcentral. Lineage: Eukaryota; Metazoa; Arthropoda; Malacostraca; Decapoda; Penaeidae.
GGGCACCGCUGCCCGGGACGAGGUAGUGCUGGUGGUCGCUGCUAGGCUGUAUCGUGCCCGUCAGUCUCAGUAGCCCCCGCGCCGCCGCCGCACGCUCAGUGCCGUGUCUGUGUUGCUCGCCCGCCCUCACACCCACCACCUGAGAGCCUCCUCCUGGCCACACCCAGGCUCCCUGAGUGCAGGGCCUUUGGCACUUGUUGGGUGACGCCUUUCUGUUGACGGAAGUGUCACUGCCGAUGUCGUUCCUGCCAAAAGUUUGACAAGUGCUUGCUCAUAACAGUUUUUACUUGAUUUUUACACUUCCAUUCAUUAGAGGACUCGACCCAGCAAGAGUCUGUUUAUGAGUGAAAAAUGCAUUUUACUGAAGCCUAUGUUUAGUGUCGGUUGUGGGAAAAGAAGUAUCUAAUAUCAGAAAUAAAAAAAUAUAAUGUUUCAAGUUCAUACAAGCUGUUGAGCUGUAUUACAAGAUUUAUUUUUUGGUUGUAUGCAAAGUGACCGAAUGUUUUGGAAGUGAAGUGCAUUUGAAGUGGAAUGGGAAACGUAGAAGGUAAAGCGACCGGAGGAAGGCGGCGCGUAGAUCCCCCUUACUGCACGGCACGCCCCCUUCCUCCUCUGCCGAACGACGACGAGGAGGAGGACCUGGACCUUGAUUCUCCGCCUCCGUACCCGCCUCCGCCGCCGCCUUCAGAAGAGCGGUCCAAGCGGUAUUCCUGGCGGAUGUCUGACUCCGCCGUCUUUGGCCAAGGCGAAAAUAAGAGGCGCUCGUGGCUACUCAACUUAACCAACGGAGGCGACAAAACGAAGAGUAAAAUGGCGAAAGACGGUAAGGAUGUCGAUGAUGUUAACAGUAAGAUCAGUGUAGGUAGCAUGGAUGUGUCAGGGGGAGUUGGAGUGAAAGCUUCCUUUAAUGAACCACAUAUAAAUAUCCAAGAAAAUUCUUGGACUGUAGAGGGGAAGCCCGACGCAAACCAAACGACGGGGAAAGAAUCCCAUGUGUUUAUGUACAACAUUUCUGAUAAGGAAAAGGCGAUGCAUGGAGAGAAAGUCAUAAAGAUGAAGACUGAGUAUGUGAGAGGAGAAGACAGUAGUGCACCAGGAUACAGUGUUCUUCACGAAUGUCUUCAGCAUGACAUGAACUCUGAAGGCAGAAUGAUUCAUGAUCAAAACAAUACACAGCUUCCAUCUUUGGAUCUUAGCUGUACAUCCAACAUGAGUGAUGAGCUGAAAAACGUCAUUGACGAGCUUCGAGGCAAGCCAUCCACUGAAGACAGCACUGUAUUUAAAACUGUAUCUGAACAUAAACGAUUUGUCAGUAUCACAACUACGACUAAGAAGGAAGUAUCUUCGCAUAUUAAUAUUAAUGGCAAAGAAUAUAGUUCAACCACAAAUGAUUCUCUUAGUAAGCUGGAGGCAGAACUAAGUGCGUUGCUCUCUCCUGAACUGGAAUUACACACCAAUUCUGAGACAGUCAGUAACAAAAACACUUCCGUUUCCAUGCGUAUGGAAAAUGGGCAUGGGUCUGGGGCAAAUGUGGGGUUAGGUUCUAGCACCAGUCAGGCUCAUAGUUCACAAGUAAACCAAAGCUAUAACAUAUCAGUGACACCGACACUUCCAUUACCAGACAUUCAAGAAUUCUCUGGGAAAGGUAUUCCAUUGCUGCCUGACCUUGUGAAGGGCAACAAUAAGGGAGCCAUUACUGUUGAAAGUUCACUACAGGGGCGUGACAAAAAUGUAAAUGUGGGGGCGGGAGGCAGUAUAACCGGCCCAACUUGUGAUGUUCAAUUUGACAAAAGAGGAGAUUUUGGAGUUGGAAGAUUAGAUACAAAGUUUGAUAGUUCAUUACCACAGGGUAAAGGAGAAAUUGAUGGAUUACACAUAGGGGGAGCUGUGUCAGGUCCCAGAUUAGAGGUGUCAGCUGAAGGUAGCAAGUUCCAUACUCCAGGGGUAGCCUUGGCAGGUGAGAGUCUGCCACGGGGAGAUGUCAGCAUGUCAGUGGAGCCAGGGAUUCCUGUUGCACCUGAUGUAGGCAAGCCUGCCACUAAGAGUAAGAAACAAUCAUCUGGUCCUUGUGCUUGUUUGAGCAGUCCUAAGAAAAUCGAACAAGAAGAACCAUACAUAUCAGCGGGGGUUCAAGGGGAAGGCAAAGGAGAAUUACCGUCAGUGCCUGCUGGCUCAGUAGAAGUAGAAGGGAUAGACUCAGGUCUUAGAACCGAAGGUACAGUUACUGCAAAGAUUCCCCAGAAAAAACGCUCUGGUCCAAAAUCUAAACUUGGAUCAUGUUUUGGUAAACCCAAAUCAUCUGAAUUUGAUACCCCAGAAGCAGAUAUUAAAGGAGAGGUUGAAAUUAAGAGUCCAAGACCAACUGCGGAACCAAGAGCAGAAGCUAGUGUAAAUAUCCAAGUACCAGAUGAGAAUGUCAAAAUUGGGAAAGAUCCAGAGAAGAAAAAGGCAAAGUUUGGCUCAUGUUUUGGGAAGCCUAAAGAACCAGAGUAUGAUGUAAAGGGAGAAUCAUACAGAGUGAUAUCAGAUGAACCAGAAUUUGAAGGCAAGUUAGAUGUUGGUGCUGUAUCACCAACACCUGUGCCUCAAGUCAGUCUAGCAACAACCGCAGGUGAUAUCAGUUUUCAGACAAAACCAACAAAUGUUUCACCAUCUUUGAAAUAUGACAUACCCGAUUUCCCAAAAGUUGAGGCUAAUGUGGAAACUAGGGCAGGGGUAACUGGAGAAAUUGAGGGUGGUUUUUCGGGUGAUAUCCAUAAGGGAGAUGUACAGAUCGAAGCAAAUGCUCCAAAGAUUGGUGGUCAAAUUGCUAGUAAAGAAUACACAGCAGACAGUGACAUUUCCGGAAUUCCAGGAAAUAUGGAUAUCAAUAUUCCAGGUUUCAAAUUCUCCCAAAGUACUCCUAAAGCUACAAUAGAAGGGUCAUCAAGAGCUAACUUUGAUAGUGACAUCAGUCUCGACAUUGAAGGAAAGACUCCAGAUGCGAAGAUUAAGGGAGAAAUCCCUGGCUUGUCUCUCGAAGGUAAUUUGCCAAGUAUGUAUGCAUCUGGGGAAAAGACAAAUAUCAAAUAUUCUGAAGAUACUCCUGAAGUGAAAAUAGAAGGAAAACUACCAGAACCUAAAGGAGACUUCAAUGUUGACCUUGGAAUUGAUUUGCCACAUGUAGCUGGGGCAGAAAAAGAACUGGAAAUCAAAGCUGCAGGUGUGUCAGGUGUUGCUGUUACGGGCGACUUACCUGUCAUUGAUGUCCCCAAAGGAGAGGUUUCCAUACCAAGCAGUCCAAUCAAGCCAUCUGUAGGAAUUAAAGCUGAAGUUAAAGGUCCAAAGGGAUCAACAUCCCUUGAUGUACCUAAUGUUAAACCAAAGACAAAGAAAGCUAAGUUAGGUCCAUGUGCUUGUUUAGGGAAAUCAGGCAAGAUGGAUAUUGAAGAACCAUAUAUAGAAAAGGAAGGUGAAGUUAGUGGAAGAUUUGAAAAUGUUGAUGCAGACAUAGGAGUUCAAGUAGAGGGACCAAGGGUAAAGGGGCCUGAAGCCCAAAUUUCAGUUGAUGUUGAAUCUCCAGAGACAGAAAGAAGGAAAGCCAAGGUAUCAGGAAAGCCCAAGAUGUCAUUAGGAUCUUGCUUUGGAAAAGCAAAGCCACCUAGUGCCCAUGGUGAUUUAUCAGGUGAUGCUGGUGUUGAAGGAAGCAUUUCUGCUGAGCCACACAUCAAAGUUAAAGGAGCAGAUGUAGAAGGCCCAAGUGCAGAUAUUUCCCUUCCUAGAGGAAAGGCUGAAAUUGACAUUGAAUCUCCAGAAAUUAAAGCAAAAGGAGGAAAAGUGUCAGGCAAACCAAAGAUGAAAUUUGGGCCAUGUUUUGGUAAAGCUAAGGGUAAAGAUGUAGAAGCAGAAAGUGAAUACAAAAUUGAAGGCCCAUCUGUUAGUGGUGAGAUUAGUCCUUCAUCACCUGAGCUAAGAGCAGAUGUCAGUGUUGAAUCACCUAAAGCCAAAAUCAAAGGUGAGAAACCCAAAACAAAGUUUGGAUCUUGCCUUGGAAAACCCAAAGAGCCAAAAGUUGAAGGUGAAUAUCAAGUAGGAAAAAUAGCUGUUGAAGGUCCUGAAGUCAGUAGUAAAGUAGAAAUUCCUUCUGGUGAGGCUAGUGUUGCAUCACCAGCAGUGAGUGUAGAUAUCAGUGCUAAAUCACCUGAAGCUAAAAUCCAAGGGGAGAAACCUAAAUCUAAGCUGGGAUCUUGUUUUGGUAAACCAAAAGGCCCAAAAGUUGAAGGAGAAUAUAAGCCUGUUAGAGUUCAAGCUGAAAGUUCUGGAGCCAGUGGUGAGAUUAAGGUCGCAUCACCAGAGAUAAGAGGAGACAUUGGUGCCAAAGCCCCUGAAGUAGAAAUCAAAGGAGAAAAGCCAAAGUCAAAACUUGGAUCUUGCUUUGGGGAACCCAAAGGCCCUGAUGCUGGGGGUGAAUACAAAUCAAGUAAACUAGAAGUUGAAGGUCCAUCUGUUACUGGUGAGGCUAGUGUUGCAUCUCCCAAGGUUAGUGGAGAUGUUAGUGCCGAGUUGCCAAGAGGUGAAAUUAAAGGAGGAAAGCCCAAAUCUAAGUUGGGAUCAUGCUUUGGGAAACCUAAAGAACCGAAAGUGGCAGGUGAAUACAAACCAGCUGAAGUAAACAUCGAUGAGCCAUCUAUUAGUGGUGAGGCAAGUGUCAAAUCACCAGAGCUAGGUGGAGACAUUGGCAUUCAAUCAUCAAAAUUCAGUGGAGAUGCAAGCAUUAAACAUACAGAUGCAGAGAUCAAAGGAAAGAAGCCAAAAUCCAAUUUAGGAUCAUGUUUUGGGAAAUCUAAAUCACCAGAAAUUGAAGGAAAGGUUGAAGCAGAAAGACCAGAGAUCAGUGGGGAAGUUGGUAUUUCAUCACCAGAGCUUAAAGGUGAUGUAAAUAUUGAAUCACCAGAUGUAAGAAUUAAGGCAGAAAAACCGAAAUCAAAAUUGGGAUCAUGUUUCGGUAAACCUAGCACACCUAGAGCAGAAGGUGAAUACAUGGUUAGUACUGAAAAACCUGAAGCAGAGGCAGGAGUUUCAGUCAGAUCUCCUGCUAUUAAGGGUGAUGUUGAUCUAGAGUCCCCCGAGAUAAAGGUGAAAGGCAGUAAACCAAAGUCCAAACUUGGAUCAUGCUUUGGGAAACCAAAAAGUGGAAAGAUAGAAGGUGAAUACAAGCCAGGAAGUGUUGACAUAGAAGGUCCUGAAGUGAGUGCAGGAGCCAGUGUCAAGCCUCCUACCAUUGAAGGAGAAAUUGAUGUUGAAUCACCUGCAGUAGAAGUGAAAGGCAAGAAGGUUUCUGGAAAGCCGAAAGCCAAACUAGGAUCAUGCUUUGGAAAACCCAAAGAACCUAAAGUUAAAGGAGAAAUAGACAUUGAAGGUCCAAGAGUAGAAGGUGAAGUGCCUACUGGGAAAGCUGAAGUAGGUGUCAAGGCUCCUGAGAUGAAAGUGAAGAGUAAGAAGGUAAAAGGAAAAUCUGCUCCACUAUGUGCUUCAUGCAUUGGAAAGGCAUCACCUCCAGAUGUAGAUAUAGAUGCUGAUGUAGAACCAGGAAGCAUUAAGAUUCGUCCAGAAAAACCAAGCAUGGAAGGAAAAAUAUCAGUAGAAGGUCCAAGUAUUGAUGUUGAACCAGUAAAAGUAAACGUAAAGGGACCUUCAAUGCCUGAAGUACCAGAAAUGAAAGGUAAUUUGGAUGUGGAAGCAGAUCUACCUGAUUUUGAACCAUCCAUUAAAAUCAAGGGUGAUAUUCCAGAUAUCCCGAAAGUAGAAGCAGAAAUGGGAGGAAAAGCAGAUAUUCCAGAAAUUGAAAUCAAGGGUAAUGUGCCAGCACUUCCAAAGAUAGAAGCAAGUGUGGAUGCACCUGAAUUGAAAGUGGAAGGAGAGCUCCCAAAACUGAAAACGGAAGGUGAUAUUGACAUUGGAAUAAAUGUUCCAAGUAUAUCAGGAGAUAUUAAGGGACUGAAUAUUGAAACACCCGACUUCCCAAGUGGCAAAAUUGAAGGAGAUAUUAAGGGUGACUUACCAAGCAUUGAGAUUCCUAAAGCUGAAGUCUCUCUACCAGCAGGCCCUGAAUUACCAAGUGCAGAAAUCAAGGGAGAAUUGAAGGGUCCAGAGAUCUCAGGUUCAGCCCAAAUACCAAAGGCAGAACUGAAGACAAAGAAAGCAAAACUUGGUCCAUGUGCUUGUUUAGGCAAAUCAGGCAAAAUUGGCAAAGAAGAACCAUACAUGGCUGCAGAAGCUGGAGGAAAAAUAAGUGGAGAAGUUGAAGGUGUAGAUGUGGGUGUAGAAGGACCCAAAGGUAGUGUUGCAGUAGAUGUUGAAUCACCUGAGAUAAAGGGUAAGAAAGUAAAGGCCUCAGGCAAGCCUAAGAUGUCAUUAGGAUCAUGCUUUGGGAAAGCAAAGCCACCUAGUGCCCGUGGUGAUGUAUCAGCUGAUGCUGGUGUUGAAGGAAGCAUUUCUGCUGAGCCACACCUCAAAGUUGAAGGAGCCGAUAUUGCAGGUCCAAGUGCAGAUAUUUCUCUUCCAGAAGGAAAGGCUGAAGUUGAUAUUGAAUCCCCAGAAGUUAAAGUGAAAGGAGGAAAAGUAUCAGGCAAACCCAAGAUGAAAUUUGGACCCUGUUUCGGCAAAGGCAAAGAUGUAGAAGUAGAAGGUGAAUACAAAUCAAGUAAAGUAGAAGUUAAAGGUCCAUCUGUCAGUGGUGAAGUCAGUGCAGCCUCACCUGAAAUGAGUGGAGACAUUAGUGUUGAAUCACCUAAAGCUAAAAUCCAAGGAGAAAAGCCUAAAUCUAAAUUAGGAUCCUGUUUUGGGAAACCCAAAGGGCCAAAGGUGGAAGGUGAAUACAAGCCAGCUAAAGUUAGUGCCGAGGGUCCAGAAGUUAGUGGUGAAGUUUCUGUUGCCUCACCAGAGAUAAGUGCAGAGAUCAGUGCUGAACCACCCAAAGCUAAACUCAAAGGGGAGAAACCUAAAUCAAAAUUAGGAUCUUGCUUUGGUAAGCCCAAAGGCCCAAAAGUUGAAGGAGAAUAUAAACCAUCAAGUGUUGAUGUUGAAUGCCCAGAAGUAAGUAGUGAUGUAGGGGUUCCAUCGGCUGAAGUUAAGGGUGACAUUAAGGUUGAUUCACCUGAUGUAAGAUUUAAAGAAGGUAAACCCAAAUCAAAGUUUGGAUCCUGCUUUGGAAAACCUAAAUCGCCUGGAAUUGAAGGUGAAUACAAACCAGGAAAAAUUAGUGUAGAAGGACCUGAAGCAGAGGCAGGAGUUUCAGCCAGAUCUCCUGCUAUUAAGGGUGAUCUUGAUCUAGAGUCCCCUGAGAUAAAGGUGAAAGGCAGUAAACCAAAGUCCAAAUUUGGAUCAUGCUUUGGGAAACCAAAAAGUGGAAAGAUAGAAGGUGAAUACAAGCCAGGAAGUGUUGACAUAGAAGGUCCUGAUGUGAGUGCAGGAGCCAGUGUCAAGCCUCCUACCAUUGAAGGAGAAAUUGAUAUUGAAUCACCUGAAGUAGAAGUGAAAGGUAAGAAGGUUUCUGGAAAGCCGAAAGCCAAACUAGGAUCAUGCUUUGGCAAACCCAAAGAACCUAAAGUUAAAGGAGAAAUAGACAUUGAAGGUCCAAGAGUAGAAGGUGAAGUGCCUACUGGGAAAGCUGAAGUAGGUGUCAAGGCUCCUGAGAUGAAAGUGAAGAGUAAGAAGGUAAAAGGAAAAUCUGCUCCACUAUGUGCUUCAUGUAUUGGAAAGGCAUCACCUCCAGAUGUAGAUAUAGAUGCUGAUGUAGAACCAGGAAGCAUAAAGAUUCGUCCUGAGAAACCAAGCAUGGAAGGUAAAAUAUCAGUAGAAGGUCCAAGUAUUGAUGUUGAACCAGUAAAAGUAAACGUAAAGGGACCUUCAAUGCCUGAAGUACCAGAAAUGAAAGGUAAUUUGGAUGUAGAAGCAGAUCUACCUGAUUUUGAACCAUCCUUUAAAAUCAAGGGUGAUAUUCCAGAUAUCCCGAAAGUAGAAGCAGAAAUGGGAGGAAAAGCAGAUAUUCCAGAAAUUGAAAUCAAGGGUAAUGUGCCAGCACUUCCAAAGAUAGAGGCAAGUGUGGAUGCACCUGAAUUGAAAGUGGAAGGAGAGCUCCCAAAACUGAAAACGGAAGGUGAUAUUGACAUUGGAAUAAAUGUUCCAAGUAUAUCAGGAGAUAUUAAGGGACUGAAUAUUGAAACACCCGACUUCCCAAGUGGCAAAAUUGAAGGAGAUAUUAAGGGUGACUUACCAAGCAUUGAGAUUCCUAAAGCUGAAGUCUCUCUACCAGCAGGCCCUGAAUUACCAAGUGCAGAAAUCAAGGGAGAAUUGAAGGGUCCAGAGAUCUCAGGUUCAGCCCAAAUACCAAAGGCAGAACUAAAGACAAAGAAAGCAAAACUUGGUCCAUGUGCUUGUUUAGGCAAAUCAGGCAAAAUUGACAAAGAAGAACCAUACAUGGCUGCAGAAGCUGGAGGAAAAAUAAGUGGAGAAGUUGAAGGUGUAGAUGUGGGUGUAGAAGGACCCAAAGGUAGUGUUGCAGUAGAUGUUGAAUCACCUGAGAUAAAGGGUAAGAAAGUAAAGGCCUCAGGCAAGCCUAAGAUGUCAUUAGGAUCAUGCUUUGGGAAAGCAAAGCCACCUAGUGCCCGUGGUGAUGUAUCAGCUGAUGCUGGAGUUGAAGGAAGCAUUUCUGCUGAUCCACACCUCAAAGUUGAAGGAGCCGAUAUUGCAGGUCCAAGUGCAGAUAUUUCCCUACCAGAAGGAAAGGCUGAAGUUGAUAUUGAAUCCCCAGAAGUUAAAGUGAAAGGAAGAAAAGUAUCAGGCAAACCCAAGAUGAAAUUUGGACCCUGUUUCGGCAAAGGCAAAGAUGUAGAAGUAGAAGGUGAAUACAAACCAAGUAAAGUAGAAGUUAAAGGUCCAUCUGUCAGUGGUGAAGUCAGUGCAGCCUCACCUGAAAUGAGUGGAGACAUUAGUGUUGAAUCACCUAAAGCUAAAAUCCAAGGAGAAAAGCCUAAAUCUAAAUUAGGGUCUUGCUUUGGGAAACCCAAAAGCCCAGAAGCAGAAAUUGAAUAUAAACCUGCCAAAAUUUCAGCCGAAAGUCCAGCAAUUACUGGUGAAAUUAGUGGUGCAUCAGCUGAGAUGAAGGGUGAUGUUAAUGUUGGUUCGCCUGAUGUAAAAGUGAAAGGAGGAAAACCCAAAUCAAAGAUUGGAUCCUGUUUUGGAAAACCAAAAUCACCUGAAAUUGAAGGUGAAUACAAACCAGGAAAAAUUAGUGUAGAAGGACCCGAAGCAGAGGCAGGAGUGUCAGCCAGAUCUCCUGCUAUUAAGGGUGAUGUUGAUCUAGAGUCCCCUGAGAUAAAGGUGAAAGGCAGUAAACCAAAGUCCAAAUUUGGAUCAUGCUUUGGAAAACCAAAAAGUGGAAAGAUAGAAGGUGAAUACAAGCCAGGAAGUGUAGACAUAGAAGGUCCUGAUGUGAGUGCAGGAGCCAGUGUCAAGCCUCCUACCAUUGAAGGAGAAAUUGAUGUUGAAUCACCUGCAGUAGAAGUGAAAGGCAAGAAGGUUUCUGGAAAGCCGAAAGCCAAACUAGGAUCAUGCUUUGGAAAACCCAAAGAACCUAAAGUUAAAGGAGAAAUAGACAUUGAAGGUCCAAGAGUAGAAGGUGAAGUGCCUACUGGGAAAGCUGAAGUAGGUGUCAAGGCUCCUGAGAUGAAAGUGAAGAGUAAGAAGGUAAAAGGAAAAUCUGCUCCACUAUGUGCUUCAUGCAUAGGAAAGGCAUCACCUCCAGAUGUAGAUAUAGAUGCUGAUGUAGAACCAGGAAGCAUUAAGAUUCGUCAAGAAAAACCAAGCAUGGAAGGUAAGAUAUCAGUAGAAGGUCCAAGUAUUGAUGUUAAACCAGUAAAAGUAAACGUAAAGGGACCUUCAAUGCCUGAAGUACCAGAAAUGAAAGGUAAUUUGGAUGUGGAAGCAGAUCUACCUGAUUUUGAACCAUCCUUUAAAAUCAAGGGUGAUAUUCCAGAUAUCCCGAAAGUAGAAGCAGAAAUGGGAGGAAAAGCAGAUAUUCCAGAAAUUGAAAUCAAGGGUAAUGUGCCAGCACUUCCAAAGAUAGAGGCAAGUGUGGAUGCACCUGAAUUGAAAGUGGAAGGAGAGCUCCCAAAACUGAAAACGGAAGGUGAUAUUGACAUUGGAAUAAAUGUUCCAAGUAUAUCAGGAGAUAUUAAGGGACUGAAUAUUGAAACACCCGACUUCCCAAGUGGCAAUAUUGAAGGAGAUAUUAAGGGUGACUUACCAAGCAUUGAGAUUCCUAAAGCUGAAGUCUCUCUACCAGCAGGCCCUGAAUUACCAAGUGCAGAAAUCAAGGGAGAAUUGAAGGGUCCAGAGAUCUCAGGUUCAGCCCAAAUACCAAAGGCAGAACUGAAGGCAAAGAAAGCAAAACUUGGUCCAUGUGCUUGUUUAGGCAAAUCAGGCAAAAUUGGCAAAGAAGAACCAUACAUGGCUGCAGAAGCUGGAGGAAAAAUAAGUGGAGAAGUUGAAGGUGUAGAUGUGGGUGUAGAAGGACCCAAAGGUAGUGUUGCAGUAGAUGUUGAAUCACCUGAGAUAAAGGGUAAGAAAGUUAAGGCCUCAGGCAAGCCUAAGAUGUCAUUAGGAUCAUGCUUUGGGAAAGCUAAGCCACCUAGUGCCCGUGGUGAUGUAUCAGCUGAUGCUGGUGUUGAAGGAAGCAUUUCUGCUGAGCCACACCUCAAAGUUGAAGGAGCCGAUAUUGCAGGUCCAAGUGCAGAUAUUUCCCUUCCAGAAGGAAAGGCUGAAGUUGAUAUUGAAUCCCCAGAAGUUAAAGUGAAAGGAGGAAAAGUAUCAGGAAAACCCAAGAUGAAAUUUGGACCCUGUUUCGGCAAAGGCAAAGAUGUAGAAGUAGAAGGUGAAUACAAACCAAGUAAAGUAGAAGUUAAAGGUCCAUCUGUCAGUGGUGAAGUCAGUGCAGCCUCACCUGAAAUGAGUGGAGACAUUAGUGUUGAAUCACCUAAAGCUAAAAUCAAAGGAGAAAAGUCUAAAUCUAAAUUAGGGUCUUGCUUUGGGAAACCCAAAAGCCCAGAAGCAGAAAUUGAAUAUAAGCCUGCCAAAAUUUCAGCCGAAAGUCCUGCAAUUACUGGUGAAAUUAGUGGUGCAUCAGCUGAGAUGAAGGGUGAUGUUAAUGUUGGUUCGCCUGAUGUAAAAGUGAAAGGAGGAAAACCCAAAUCAAAGAUUGGAUCCUGUUUUGGAAAACCAAAAUCACCUGAAAUUGAAGGUGAAUACAAACCAGGAAAAAUUAGUGUAGAAGGACCUGAAGCAGAGGCAGGAGUUUCAGCAAGAUCUCCUGCUAUUAAGGGUGAUGUUGAACUAGAGUCCCCUGAGAUAAAGGUGAAAGGCAGUAAACCAAAGUCCAAAUUUGGAUCAUGCUUUGGAAAACCAAAAAGUGGAAAGAUAGAAGGUGAAUACAAGCCAGGAAGUGUAGACAUAGAAGGUCCUGAUGUGAGUACAGGAGCCAGUGUCAAGCCUCCUACCAUUGAAGGAGAAAUUGAUGUUGAAUCACCUGCAGUAGAACUGAAAGGCAAGAAGGUUUCUGGAAAGCCGAAAGCCAAACUAGGAUCAUGCUUUGGCAAACCCAAAGAACCUAAAGUUAAAGGAGAAAUAGACAUUGAAGGUCCAAGAGUAGAAGGUGAAGUGCCUACUGGGAAAGCUGAAGUAGGUGUCAAGGCUCCUGAGAUGAAAGUGAAGAGUAAGAAGGUAAAAGGAAAAUCUGCUCCACUAUGUGCUUCAUGUAUUGGAAAGGCAUCACCUCCAGAUGUAGAUAUAGAUGCUGAUGUAGAACCAGGAAGCAUAAAGAUUCGUCCUGAGAAACCAAGCAUGGAAGGUAAAAUAUCAGUAGAAGGUCCAAGUAUUGAUGUUGAACCAGUAAAAGUAAACGUAAAGGGACCUUCAAUACCUGAAGUACCAGAAAUGAAAGGUAAUUUGGAUGUGGAAGCAGAUCUACCUGAUUUUGAACCAUCCUUUAAAAUCAAGGGUGAUAUUCCAGAUAUCCCGAAAGUAGAAGCAGAAAUGGGAGGAAAAGCAGAUAUUCCAGAAAUUGAAAUCAAGGGUAAUGUGCCAGCACUUCCAAAGAUAGAGGCAAGUGUGGAUGCACCUGAAUUGAAAGUGGAAGGAGAGCUCCCAAAACUGAAAACGGAAGGUGAUAUUGACAUUGGAAUAAAUGUUCCAAGUAUAUCAGGAGAUAUUAAGGGACUGAAUAUUGAAACACCCGACUUCCCAAGUGGCAAAAUUGAAGGAGAUAUUAAGGGUGACUUACCAAGCAUUGAGAUUCCUAAAGCUGAAGUCUCUCUACCAGCAGGCCCUGAAUUACCAAGUGCAGAAAUCAAGGGAGAAUUGAAGGGUCCAGAGAUCUCAGGUUCAGCCCAAAUACCAAAGGCAGAACUAAAGACAAAGAAAGCAAAACUUGGUCCAUGUGCUUGUUUAGGCAAAUCAGGCAAAAUUGGCAAAGAAGAACCAUACAUGGCUGCAGAAGCUGGAGGAAAAAUAAGUGGAGAAGUUGAAGGUGUAGAUGUGGGUGUAGAAGGACCCAAAGGUAGUGUUGCAGUAGAUGUUGAAUCACCUGAGAUAAAGGGUAAGAAAGUUAAGGCCUCAGGCAAGCCUAAGAUGUCAUUAGGAUCAUGCUUUGGGAAAGCUAAGCCACCUAGUGCCCGUGGUGAUGUAUCAGCUGAUGCUGGUGUUGAAGGAAGCAUUUCUGCUGAGCCACACCUCAAAGUUGAAGGAGCCGAUAUUGCAGGUCCAAGUGCAGAUAUUUCCCUACCAGAAGGAAAGGCUGAAGUUGAUAUUGAAUCCCCAGAAGUUAAGGUGAAAGAAGGAAAAGUAUCAGGCAAACCCAAGAUGAAAUUUGGACCCUGUUUCGGCAAAGGCAAAGACGUAGAAGUAGAAGGUGAAUACAAACCAAGUAAAGUAGAAGUUAAAGGUCCAUCUGUCAGUGGUGAAGUCAGUACAGCCUCACCUGAAAUGAGUGGAGACAUUAGUGUUGAAUCACCUAAGGUUAAAAUCAAAGGAGAAAAACCCAAAUCCAAACUAGGAUCCUGCUUUGGAAAGCCAAAAGGUCCAGAAGUUGAGGGUGAAUAUGAUCCUGCUAAACUAGAUGUUGAAGGUCCAGAAGUUAGAGGUGGAGUAGGUGUUUCUUCACCGGAGGUCACAGGGGAUAUUAAUGUUGAGUCUCCAGAUGUGAAAGUCAAAGCAGGAAAACCAAAAGCAAAGUUAGGAUCCUGUUUCGGUAAACCUAAAUCACCUGAAGUUGAGGGUACAUAUAAACCAGGAAAAGUUAGUGUAGAAGGACCCGAAGCAGAGGCAGGAGUUUCAGCCAGAUCUCCUGCUAUUAAGGGUGAUCUUGAUCUAGAGUCCCCUGAGAUAAAGGUGAAAGGCAGUAAACCAAAGUCCAAACUUGGAUCAUGCUUUGGGAAACCAAAAAGUGGAAAGAUAGAAGGUGAAUACAAGCCAGGAAGUGUAGACAUAGAAGGUCCUGAUGUGAGUGCAGGAGCCAGUGUCAAGCCUCCUGCCAUUGAAGGAGAAAUUGAUGUUGAAUCACCUGCAGUAGAAGUGAAAGGUAAAAAGGUUUCUGUAAAGCCGAAAGCCAAACUAGGAUCAUGCUUUGGCAAACCCAAAGAACCUAAAGUUAAAGGAGAAAUAGACAUUGAAGGUCCAAGAGUAGAAGGUGAAGUGCCUACUGGGAAAGCUGAAGUAGGUGUCAAGGCUCCUGAGAUGAAAGUGAAGAGUAAGAAGGUAAAAGGAAAAUCUGCUCCACUAUGUGCUUCAUGCAUUGGAAAGGCAUCACCUCCAGAUGUAGAUAUAGAUGCUGAUGUAGAACCAGGAAGCAUUAAGAUUCGUCCUGAAAAACCCAGCAUGGAAGGUAAAAUAUCAGUAGAAGGACCAAGUAUUGAUGUUGAACCAGUAAAAGUAAAAGUAAAGGGACCUUCAAUACCUGAAGUACCAGAAAUGAAAGGUAAUAUGGAUGUGGAAGCAGAUCUACCUGAUUUUGAACCAUCCAUUAAAAUCAAGGGUGAUAUUCCAGAUAUCCCAAAAGUAGAAGCAGAAAUGGGAGGAAAAGCAGAUAUUCCAGAAAUUGAAAUCAAGGGUAAUGUGCCAGCACUUCCAAAGAUAGAGGCAAGUGUGGAUGCACCUGAAUUGAAAGUGGAAGGAGAGCUCCCAAAACUGAAAACGGAAGGUGAUAUUGACAUUGGAAUAAAUGUUCCAAGUAUAUCAGGAGAUAUUAAGGGACUGAAUAUUGAAACACCCGACUUCCCAAGUGGCAAAAUUGAAGGAGAUAUUAAGGGUGACUUACCAAGCAUUGAGAUUCCUAAAGCUGAAGUCUCUCUACCAGCAGGCCCUGAAUUAUCAAGUGCAGAAAUCAAGGGAGAAUUGAAGGGUCCAGAGAUCUCAGGUUCAGCCCAAAUACCAAAGGCAGAACUGAAGACAAAGAAAGCAAAACUUGGUCCAUGUGCUUGUUUAGGCAAAUCAGGCAAAAUUGGCAAAGAAGAACCAUACAUGGCUGCAGAAGCUGGAGGAAAAAUAAGUGGAGAAGUUGAAGGUGUAGAUGUGGGUGUAGAAGGACCCAAAGGUAGUGUUGCAGUAGAUGUUGAAUCACCUGAGAUAAAGGGUAAGAAAGUUAAGGCCUCAGGCAAGCCUAAGAUGUCAUUAGGAUCAUGCUUUGGGAAAGCAAAGCCACCUAGUGCCCGUGGUGAUGUAUCAGCUGAUGCUGGUGUUGAAGGAAGCAUUUCUGCUGAGCCACACCUCAAAGUUGAAGGAGCCGAUAUUGCAGGUCCAAGUGCAGAUAUUUCCCUACCAGAAGGAAAGGCUGAAGUUGAUAUUGAAUCCCCAGAAGUUAAGGUGAAAGAAGGAAAAGUAUCAGGCAAACCCAAGAUGAAAUUUGGACCCUGUUUCGGCAAAGGCAAAGACGUAGAAGUAGAAGGUGAAUACAAACCAAGUAAAGUAGAAGUUAAAGGUCCAUCUGUCAGUGGUGAAGUCAGUACAGCCUCACCUGAAAUGAGUGGAGACAUUAGUGUUGAAUCACCUAAGGUUAAAAUCAAAGGAGAAAAACCCAAAUCCAAACUAGGAUCCUGCUUUGGAAAGCCAAAAGGUCCAGAAGUUGAGGGUGAAUAUGAUCCUGCUAAACUAGAUGUUGAAGGUCCAGAAGUUAGAGGUGGAGUAGGUGUUUCUUCACCGGAGGUCACAGGGGAUAUUAAUGUUGAGUCUCCAGAUGUGAAAGUCAAAGCAGGAAAACCAAAAGCAAAGUUAGGAUCCUGUUUCGGUAAACCUAAAUCACCUGAAGUUGAGGGUACAUAUAAACCAGGAAAAGUUAGUGUAGAAGGACCCGAAGCAGAGGCAGGAGUUUCAGCCAGAUCUCCUGCUAUUAAGGGUGAUCUUGAUCUAGAGUCCCCUGAGAUAAAGGUGAAAGGCAGUAAACCAAAGUCCAAACUUGGAUCAUGCUUUGGGAAACCAAAAAGUGGAAAGAUAGAAGGUGAAUACAAGCCAGGAAGUGUAGACAUAGAAGGUCCUGAUGUGAGUGCAGGAGCCAGUGUCAAGCCUCCUGCCAUUGAAGGAGAAAUUGAUGUUGAAUCACCUGCAGUAGAAGUGAAAGGUAAGAAGGUUUCUGUAAAGCCGAAAGCCAAACUAGGAUCAUGCUUUGGCAAACCCAAAGAACCUAAAGUUAAAGGAGAAAUAGACAUUGAAGGUCCAAGAGUAGAAGGUGAAGUGCCUACUGGGAAAGCUGAAGUAGGUGUCAAGGCUCCUGAGAUGAAAGUGAAGAGUAAGAAGGUAAAAGGAAAAUCUGCUCCACUAUGUGCUUCAUGCAUUGGAAAGGCAUCACCUCCAGAUGUAGAUAUAGAUGCUGAUGUAGAACCAGGAAGCAUUAAGAUUCGUCCUGAGAAACCCAGCAUGGAAGGUAAAAUAUCAGUAGAAGGACCAAGUAUUGAUGUUGAACCAGUAAAAGUAAAAGUAAAGGGACCUUCAAUACCUGAAGUACCAGAAAUGAAAGGUAAUAUGGAUGUGGAAGCAGAUCUACCUGAUUUUGAACCAUCCAUUAAAAUCAAGGGUGAUAUUCCAGAUAUCCCAAAAGUAGAAGCAGAAAUGGGAGGAAAAGCAGAUAUUCCAGAAAUUGAAAUCAAGGGUAAUGUGCCAGCACUUCCAAAGAUAGAGGCAAGUGUGGAUGCACCUGAAUUGAAAGUGGAAGGAGAGCUCCCAAAACUGAAAACGGAAGGUGAUAUUGACAUUGGAAUAAAUGUUCCAAGUAUAUCAGGAGAUAUUAAGGGACUGAAUAUUGAAACACCCGACUUCCCAAGUGGCAAAAUUGAAGGAGAUAUUAAGGGUGACUUACCAAGCAUUGAGAUUCCUAAAGCUGAAGUCUCUCUACCAGCAGGCCCUGAAUUAUCAAGUGCAGAAAUCAAGGGAGAAUUGAAGGGUCCAGAGAUCUCAGGUUCAGCCCAAAUACCAAAGGCAGAACUGAAGACAAAGAAAGCAAAACUUGGUCCAUGUGCUUGUUUAGGCAAAUCAGGCAAAAUUGGCAAAGAAGAACCAUACAUGGCUGCAGAAGCUGGAGGAAAAAUAAGUGGAGAAGUUGAAGGUGUAGAUGUGGGUGUAGAAGGACCCAAAGGUAGUGUUGCAGUAGAUGUUGAAUCACCUGAGAUAAAGGGUAAGAAAGUAAAGGCCUCAGGCAAGCCUAAGAUGUCAUUAGGAUCAUGCUUUGGGAAAGCAAAGCCACCUAGUGCCCGUGGUGAUGUAUCAGCUGAUGCUGGUGUUGAAGGAAGCAUUUCUGCUGAGCCACACCUCAAAGUUGAAGGAGCCGAUAUUGCAGGUCCAAGUGCAGAUAUUUCCCUUCCAGAAGGAAAGGCUGAAGUUGAUAUUGAAUCCCCAGAAGUUAAAGUGAAAGGAGGAAAAGUAUCAGGCAAACCCAAGAUGAAAUUUGGACCCUGUUUCGGCAAAGGCAAAGAUGUAGAAGUAGAAGGUGAAUACAAACCAAGUAAAGUAGAAGUUAAAGGUCCAUCUGUCAGUGGGGAAGUCAGUACAGCCUCACCUGAAAUGAGUGGAGACAUUAGUGUUGAAUCACCUAAAGUUAAAAUCAAAGGAGAAAAACCCAAAUCCAAACUAGGAUCCUGCUUUGGAAAACCAAAAGGUCCAGAAGUUGAGGGUGAAUAUGAUCCUGCUAAACUAGAUGUUGAAGGUCCAGAAGUUAGAGGUGGAGUAGGUGUUUCUUCUGCAGAGGUCACAGGGGAUAUUAAUGUUGAGUCUCCGGCUGUGAAAGUCAAAGCUGGAAAACCAAAAACAAAGCUAGGAUCCUGUUUCGGUAAACCUAAAUCACCUGAAGUUGAGGGUGAAUAUAAACCUGAAAUUGAUGUUGAAGGACAUAAAGCAGGAGCCGAGGUUUCAGUCAGGGCCCCAGACGUAGAGGGUCAUAUUGAUGUAGACUCACCAGAUAUGAAGAUCAAGAGAGGAAAACCAAAGUCUAGACUGGGACCCUGCUUUGGAAAGGCAAAGGGUGAAGUAGAAAGCGAAUAUAAACCAGGAAGUGUUUCUAUAAAAGGUCCUGAUGUUGGUGCAGAAGCAAGUGUACAGAGUCCUGAUCUUGGAGCGGGAGUAAAUGUGAAAAGUCCUGGAAAUGAAGGUGAAAUUGAUAUCGAAUCACCAAAAGUGGAAGUUAAAGGCAAAAAGGUAUCUGGAAAGCCUAAAGUUAACCUUGGAUCUUGCUUUGGUAAACCCAAGGAACCAAAGAUCGAAGUGGAUAUUGAAGGCAGAGGUGCACAAGUGUCAGUAGAUGCACCAAAUGUUGCUGUUGAACCAUCGGUGAAAGUAGUUGGCCCAUCAGUACCUAGACUUCCUGAUGUGAGAGGAGACUUAGAAGUGAAAAUAGAUGAGCCAGAUUUUGAACCCUCCCUGGAAAUCAAGGGUGAUAUUCCUGAUAUACCAAAAGUUAAGGCAGAAAUAGGUGGCAAAGCAAAUAUACCGGAAAUUGAAAUGCAGGGGAGUGUUCCAAAGCUUCCUGAAAUUAAAGCAACUAUUGGUUCACCUGAACUAAAGACCGAGGGGGAUGUUGGUUUUGGGGUAAGUGCUCCAAGUAUUUCAGGAGAUAUCAAGGGUGAUAUUCCCAAAGUUGAAGUCACUGUACCAUCGGGCCCUGCAUUACCAAGCACAGAAAUUAAAGGUGAGAUUAAGAGCCCAGCUUUAUCAGGUUCAGCAGAGAUACCAAAGGCUGAAAUAAAGACAAAGAAGGCAAAACUUGGUCCCUGCACUUGCAUGGGCAAAUCAGGCAAAGAAGAGCCAUAUAUAGCAGCAGGAGGAGGGAAAAUAAGUGGAGAAGUUGAAAGCAUAGAUGCAGGCAUUGAAAGACCAAAAGGCAAUAUUUCAGUUGAGGUGGAUUCUCCUGAGAUAAAGAACAAAAAGGUUAAGGCCUCAGGAAAGCCUAAGAUGUCAUUAGGAUCUUGCUUUGGUAAAGGAAAGCCUCCUAGUGGAGAAAUUUCAACUGGCCUUGAUGUAGAUGUAAAGCCAGAUCAACCUGACUUUGAAAUCUCUGCCGAGGCUCCAGUUCCACCAAUGCGAAAGGGAAAGAAAUUUAAGGUUAAAUCUCCAGAUAUUGAUAUGAAUAUGGGAAGCAUAGAUAUAAAUGCUGAUGUUCCAGAAGUUGGAGGAAUAGAUGUUUCUGGUAUUGGAAUGAAGGCAGUUGGACCAGAUAUCAAUGGAAGUCUUGAUAUGCCAGAAUUUGAAGGCCGUAUAAAAAGCCCACAUGUAAAGAGUAGUAUUGAUAUUCCAGAAGUUGAAGGCAAGAUCGAUAUGCCUGAAAUUAAAGGUAGUGGAGAAAUCGAAGGAUAUGGUGGUAAGAUAACUAUGCCACAUAUCAAAGGAAAUACUGACAUUCCAGGAUUAAGUGGCAAAAUUAGCAUGCCAGAAGUGAAUGGAAAUGUUGAUAUUCCAUCCUUUGGAAGCAAAAUUGAUAUGCCAGAUCUUAAUGGUAAAGCGGAUAUUCAAGGAUUUAGAGGCAAGGUUGACAUGCCAGAAAUCAAGGGCAAGGUAGACAUGCCAGAAAUCAAGGGCAGUGCUGAAAUGCCAGGCUUUGGAGGCAAGGUAGACAUGCCAGAAAUCAAGGGCAGUGUUGGAAUGCCAGGCUUUGGAGGCAAGUUUGACAUGCCAGAAAUCAAGGGCAGUGUUGGAAUGCCAGGCUUUGGAGGCAAGGUUGACAUGCCAGAAAUCAAGGGCAGUGCUGAAAUGCCAGGCUUUGAAGGCAAGGUAGACAUGCCAGAAAUCAAGGGCAGUGUUGGAAUGCCAGGCUUUGGAGGCAAGGUAGACAUGCCAGAAAUCAAGGGCAGUGCUGAAAUGCCAGGCUUUGGAGGCAAGGUAGACAUGCCAGAAAUCAAGGGCAGUGCUGAAAUGCCAGGCUUUGGAGGCAAGGUAGACAUGCCAGAAAUCAAGGGCAGUGUUGGAAUGCCAGGCUUUGGAGGCAAGUUUGACAUGCCAGAAAUCAAGGGCAGUGUUGGAAUGCCAGGCUUUGGAGGCAAGGUUGACAUGCCAGAAAUCAAGGGCAAGGUAGACAUGCCAGAAAUCAAGGGCAGUGCUGAAAUGCCAGGCUUUGGAGGCAAGGUAGACAUGCCAGAAAUCAAGGGCAGUGUUGAAAUGCCAGGCUUUGGAGGCAAGGUAGACAUGCCAGAAAUCAAGGGCAGUGUUGGAAUGCCAGGCUUUGGAGGCAAGGUAGACAUGCCAGAAAUCAAGGGCAGUGCUGAAAUGCCAGCCUUUGGAGGCAAGGUAGACAUGCCAGAAAUCAAGGGCAGUGUUGGAAUGCCAGGCUUUGGAGGCAAGGUAGACAUGCCAGAAAUCAAGGGCAGUGUUGGAAUGCCAGGCUUUGGAGGCAAGGUUGACAUGCCAGAAAUCAAGGGCAAGGUUGACAUGCCAGAAAUCAAGGGCAAGUGCUGAAAUGCCAGGCUUUGGAGGCAAGGUAGACAUGCCAGAAAUCAAGGGCAGUGUUGGAAUGCCAGGCUUUGGAGGCAAGGUUGACAUGCCAGAAAUCAAGGGCAGUGUUGGAAUGCCAGGCUUUGGAGGCAAGGUAGACAUGCCAGAAAUCAA